GUGUGUUUCGACACACUAUCAUUAACUGAAUCCAUAGGUUAAUGAGGCGAACCGGGGGAACUGAAACAUCUAAGUACCCCGAGGAAAAGAAAUCAACCGAGAUUCCCCCAGUAGCGGCGAGCGAACGGGGAGGAGCCCAGAGCCUGAAUCAGUGUGUGUGUUAGUGGAAGCGUCUGGAAAGGCGCGCGAUACAGGGUGACAGCCCCGUACACAAAAAUGCACAUAUUGUGAGCUCGAUGAGUAGGGCGGGACACGUGGUAUCCUGUCUGAAUAUGGGGGGACCAUCCUCCAAGGCUAAAUACUCCUGACUGACCGAUAGUGAACCAGUACCGUGAGGGAAAGGCGAAAAGAACCCCGGCGAGGGGAGUGAAAAAGAACCUGAAACCGUGUACGUACAAGCAGUGGGAGCCUCUUUAUGGGGUGACUGCGUACCUUUUGUAUAAUGGGUCAGCGACUUAUAUUCUGUAGCAAGGUUAACCGAAUAGGGGAGCCGAAGGGAAACCGAGUCUUAACUGGGCGUUAAGUUGCAGGGUAUAGACCCGAAACCCGGUGAUCUAGCCAUGGGCAGGUUGAAGGUUGGGUAACACUAACUGGAGGACCGAACCGACUAAUGUUGAAAAAUUAGCGGAUGACUUGUGGCUGGGGGUGAAAGGCCAAUCAAACCGGGAGAUAGCUGGUUCUCCCCGAAAGCUAUUUAGGUAGCGCCUCGUGAAUUCAUCUCCGGGGGUAGAGCACUGUUUCGGCAAGGGGGUCAUCCCGACUUACCAACCCGAUGCAAACUGCGAAUACCGGAGAAUGUUAUCACGGGAGACACACGGCGGGUGCUAACGUCCGUCGUGAAGAGGGAAACAACCCAGACCGCCAGCUAAGGUCCCAAAGUCAUGGUUAAGUGGGAAACGAUGUGGGAAGGCCCAGACAGCCAGGAUGUUGGCUUAGAAGCAGCCAUCAUUUAAAGAAAGCGUAAUAGCUCACUGGUCGAGUCGGCCUGCGCGGAAGAUGUAACGGGGCUAAACCAUGCACCGAAGCUGCGGCAGCGACACUAUGUGUUGUUGGGUAGGGGAGCGUUCUGUAAGCCUGUGAAGGUGGCCUGUGAGGGUUGCUGGAGGUAUCAGAAGUGCGAAUGCUGACAUAAGUAACGAUAAAGCGGGUGAAAAGCCCGCUCGCCGGAAGACCAAGGGUUCCUGUCCAACGUUAAUCGGGGCAGGGUGAGUCGACCCCUAAGGCGAGGCCGAAAGGCGUAGUCGAUGGGAAACAGGUUAAUAUUCCUGUACUUGGUGUUACUGCGAAGGGGGGACGGAGAAGGCUAUGUUGGCCGGGCGACGGUUGUCCCGGUUUAAGCGUGUAGGCUGGUUUUCCAGGCAAAUCCGGAAAACCAAGGCUGAGGCGUGAUGACGAGGCACUACGGUGCUGAAGCGACAAAUGCCCUGCUUCCAGGAAAAGCCUCUAAGCAUCAGGUAACAUCAAAUCGUACCCCAAACCGACACAGGUGGUCAGGUAGAGAAUACCAAGGCGCUUGAGAGAACUCGGGUGAAGGAACUAGGCAAAAUGGUGCCGUAACUUCGGGAGAAGGCACGCUGAUAUGUAGGUGAAGCGACUUGCUCGUGGAGCUGAAAUCAGUCGAAGAUACCAGCUGGCUGCAACUGUUUAUUAAAAACACAGCACUGUGCAAACACGAAAGUGGACGUAUACGGUGUGACGCCUGCCCGGUGCCGGAAGGUUAAUUGAUGGGGUUAGCGGUAACGCGAAGCUCUUGAUCGAAGCCCCGGUAAACGGCGGCCGUAACUAUAACGGUCCUAAGGUAGCGAAAUUCCUUGUCGGGUAAGUUCCGACCUGCACGAAUGGCGUAAUGAUGGCCAGGCUGUCUCCACCCGAGACUCAGUGAAAUUGAACUCGCUGUGAAGAUGCAGUGUACCCGCGGCAAGACGGAAAGACCCCGUGAACCUUUACUAUAGCUUGACACUGAACAUUGAGCCUUGAUGUGUAGGAUAGGUGGGAGGCUUUGAAGUGUGGACGCCAGUCUGCAUGGAGCCGACCUUGAAAUACCACCCUUUAAUGUUUGAUGUUCUAACGUUGGCCCGUAAUCCGGGUUGCGGACAGUGUCUGGUGGGUAGUUUGACUGGGGCGGUCUCCUCCUAAAGAGUAACGGAGGAGCACGAAGGUUGGCUAAUCCUGGUCGGACAUCAGGAGGUUAGUGCAAUGGCAUAAGCCAGCUUGACUGCGAGCGUGACGGCGCGAGCAGGUGCGAAAGCAGGUCAUAGUGAUCCGGUGGUUCUGAAUGGAAGGGCCAUCGCUCAACGGAUAAAAGGUACUCCGGGGAUAACAGGCUGAUACCGCCCAAGAGUUCAUAUCGACGGCGGUGUUUGGCACCUCGAUGUCGGCUCAUCACAUCCUGGGGCUGAAGUAGGUCCCAAGGGUAUGGCUGUUCGCCAUUUAAAGUGGUACGCGAGCUGGGUUUAGAACGUCGUGAGACAGUUCGGUCCCUAUCUGCCGUGGGCGCUGGAGAACUGAGGGGGGCUGCUCCUAGUACGAGAGGACCGGAGUGGACGCAUCACUGGUGUUCGGGUUGUCAUGCCAAUGGCACUGCCCGGUAGCUAAAUGCGGAAGAGAUAAGUGCUGAAAGCAUCUAAGCACGAAACUUGCCCCGAGAUGAGUUCUCCCUGAGACUUAGAGUCUCCUGAAGGAACGUUGAAGACGACGACGUUGAUAGGCCGGGUGUGUAAGCGCAGCGAUGCGUUGAGCUAACCGGUACUAAUGAACCGUGAG
Molecule: ribosomal RNA, 2763 nt
Filed under: Escherichia coli
Lineage: Bacteria; Pseudomonadati; Pseudomonadota; Gammaproteobacteria; Enterobacterales; Enterobacteriaceae
Description: partial 23S ribosomal RNA
Rfam family: Bacterial large subunit ribosomal RNA
Source: RNAcentral